UACGUAGGUGGCAAGCGUUGUCCGGAUUUACUGGGUGUAAAGGGCGUGCAGCCGGAGAGGCAAGUCAGAUGUGAAAUCCCGCGGCUCAACUGCGGAACUGCAUUUGAAACUGUUUUUCUUGAGUAUCGGAGAGGUCAUCGGAAUUCCUAGUGUAGCGGUGAAAUGCGUAGAUAUUAGGAAGAACACCAGUGGCGAAGGCGGAUGACUGGACGACAACUGACGGUGAGGCGCGAAAGCGUGGGGAGCAAACAGG
RNAcentral lists this ribosomal RNA (253 nucleotides) under uncultured bacterium. RNAcentral describes it as "partial 16S ribosomal RNA". It matches the Rfam family "Bacterial small subunit ribosomal RNA", at positions 524 to 776 of the family's 1533-position model. The record is from RNAcentral.